This 396-nucleotide unclassified non-coding RNA is filed under the name Hevea brasiliensis (rubber tree). The record is from RNAcentral. Lineage: Eukaryota; Viridiplantae; Streptophyta; Magnoliopsida; Malpighiales; Euphorbiaceae.
UUCAAGGAACCUACAGAAUGUGAACCAAACAUAUCUAAUUACUGGCAGAGUUCAUUUGAUGCUCUCCCACCUGAGUGGACUGACCAGUUUGAGUCAGGGAUUCAGACUAUUGCUGUGAUUCAAGCUGGACAUGGCCUACUGCAACUGGGAUCCUGCAAGAUUAUACCGGAAGACCUCCAUUUCGUGUUAAGAAUGAGGCACACGUUCGAGUCACUAGGCUAUCAAUCUGGCUUUUAUUUGUCACAACUAUUUUCUUCAACAAGGACUAGUUCACCUUCGUCUGCAAUUCCUCUUAAGCAGCCGACCAUGCCAAUUCGCGCUCCUCCUCCACUUUUCAACUGGGGACCAAGGCCAAUGCCUUCAGCGUCUUCGCUACUAUCGUCUCCCAACUUCCAG